RNAcentral lists this ribosomal RNA (479 nucleotides) under uncultured Lactobacillus sp. RNAcentral's name for it is "bacterial SSU rRNA". It matches the Rfam family "Bacterial small subunit ribosomal RNA", at positions 77 to 524 of the family's 1533-position model. The record is from RNAcentral. Lineage: Bacteria; Bacillati; Bacillota; Bacilli; Lactobacillales; Lactobacillaceae.
GUGAAAAACAAAGAUACAGGCUAGCGGCGGACGGGGUGAGUAAACACGUGGGGUAAACCUGCCCAAAGAGAUACGGGGAUAACACCUGGGAAACAGAUGCUAAUACCCGGAUAACAACAGAUGAUGCCUAUCAACUGUUUUAAAAAGAUGGUUCUGCUAUCACUCUUUGGGAUGGGACCUGCGGUGCAUUAGCUAGUUGGUAGGGUAACGGCCUACCAAGGCGAUGAUGCAUAGCCGAGUUGAGAGACUGAUCGGCCACAUUGGGACUGAGACACGGCCCAAACUCCUACGGGAGGCAGCAGUAGGGAAUCUUCCACAAUGGACGCAAGUCUGAUGGAGCAACGCCGCGUGAGUGAAGGAGGGUUUCGGCUCGUAAAGCUCUGUUGUUGGUGAAGAAGGACAGGGGUAGUAACUGACCUUUGUUUGACGGUAAUCAAUUAGAAAGUCACGGCUAACUACGUGCCAGCAGCCGCGGUAAU